This 284-nucleotide unclassified non-coding RNA is filed under the name Hevea brasiliensis (rubber tree). Lineage: Eukaryota; Viridiplantae; Streptophyta; Magnoliopsida; Malpighiales; Euphorbiaceae. The record is from RNAcentral.
UUCACAAACUGCACUCACAGGAUUGAAAAUUAGGCUGUGAAUAUUCGCAAGUUCAGUUGAUCAAAGGGUGUUCUCGCACUUUUAUGUGCAUGCUUGGUUUGUCCUCAUAAGAGACUCUAAUACGAGGCUUCAAAUGAAUCAUCAAAACUAUACUGGCAUGGCCUGCUUGCGCAUCGCUUAGGGUCAACUUUAAGAACAGAAUUGUUUUUUGCUGGGUCUGGCCCUAGAUAUACCAAUACUACUUUAGACAGAGUAAUCUAUCCAUUAGAGUGAUAUGAGGAAGG